Molecule: long non-coding RNA, 639 nt
Organism: Hydractinia symbiolongicarpus
Lineage: Eukaryota; Metazoa; Cnidaria; Hydrozoa; Anthoathecata; Hydractiniidae
Exons: 3
Source: RefSeq, a predicted model, not a curated record
GCUACACAUCACUUGUAGUUGCAGAGAUAAAGAAACAUCUGUUUACACCCCUUUUGUGCAAAACAUCAGAAUUACCAGUCGUCACAAAAACAGAUAACAAAUUGAAGUUUAAAAUUCCAGCAAGAUUCGUAAUAAAAGGAAGAUCAAAAUAAAUAAGCCAGACUGUCAUAGGGUUCCAGUGGAUAAAGAAAGGAUAGACAAAGGUUCUGGCGUUCUGCAAAACGCAUAUCUCGACAAAAAAAAGAUUAUCCUUUCAUGGUUUGUUGGACUACAACGAGCAUCAAAGAAGCGCAGUUAGAUUUGAAGGCAGAAAAAUCCUGUGUACAACCAUCUGGUCAGAACACUUGAUGUUUCCAGUUUGUCUGACGAUAAAAAUAGUCUGAUGUCUUACGGAGAUGAAGCAGUGCACCAACAAAGUGUGUGAACUUGCUGAAAAAGAAUGGUUGAUAUCAUAAAAAAUCGAGUAAAACCUUCAAGAGAAGGAAAAUAUUUGGAUGCGUGGGCUAAAGUUCUGAUCAAUUCCAACCUAAAAAUUUAGUGGAAAAAUAUGUUGCAUAUCAUCGAGUUUCCUUUAAUAACUCCCUUUACUAAUGCAAAACUUGAACACAUAUUUAGUAUAAUGAAUAAAGUCAAAACAAA